Molecule: unclassified non-coding RNA, 331 nt
Filed under: Hevea brasiliensis (rubber tree)
Lineage: Eukaryota; Viridiplantae; Streptophyta; Magnoliopsida; Malpighiales; Euphorbiaceae
Source: RNAcentral
AAACAUGAGCUUCUCGGAUAUUAAGCCCUGACUAAGAAGCUUGGGUUUGUCAAUGGUGGAAAAGAUAACUUCAUGGACUAGAAUACAUGAAACUUCAUGCCUUCGGCUAGAAUCUUCUGCUAGAAUUUCUUCUUUGUCAUUAAAAUUCUUUCUAACAUCCAAAUUUAGGUCCUCAAGCUUAGAGAAAGUUUCAAAGUCAUUCAUACCCUUCCUUAUCCCUUUAUCAUUUAAGCUUCCACCUGCCUUUGAAGUCAUAAAAUCAUUGAAGUCAUCCUGACCCUUUGCAUCAUCAAAUCUAGUCCAAUAAUUCUCUAAAAAUCGGACAUGAUAA